Drosophila montana is the source of this 1234-nucleotide long non-coding RNA. RefSeq lists it as uncharacterized. NCBI's taxonomy places the organism in Eukaryota, Metazoa, Arthropoda, Insecta, Diptera, Drosophilidae. The transcript has 4 exons. The record is from RefSeq and is a predicted model, not a curated record.
AUUCGUGAGUCAUGGCCACAAAGGACCAGCUGCAGAUUCUCUGUGCAUUUAGCCUCUCUGUGUAUGUGCGUGCUUUUUUGUGUGUGGCCGCCCAUCUCUGUGCAGCUCAAGUUAAAUCGGGCAAUUGACAAAAGUAUUGCUAGUUUUUAGGCGCGUGUAGGCCCUGGCUUAUUCUUACGUUAUCGUUACUUUUUAUUUUACAAGCACUCAACUGGUGGCAAAAUGCAACGCAAUAAAGUAUAAUACCGAGAAUAUUAAAUAAAAUUCUUAUUUGAUAUAUGGCAAAAAUUCAACCGAGGAAAGAUUUAAAAAAAAAGAUUGAUGGUUUUAUCAUACAACCUGGACAUUCUAAUCUCGAUAUGAAUCUGGUGCUGGAUUUACUUUAAGUGGUGGUGCUCGCUCUUUCGGAUUCCAUUUGACAUAUUCUUCUGCGUUGUCACGGGCUAACCGAUUUGGGGCUUCAGCGCCUACGACAUACAAAAUGGCUUCGAAGACGAGAGACGCGAUUCAAUUUUACGCACUUAUGUACGCAACGCCAAAAACUGCCACCUUAUUGACAUAUUCUAUUUGAUUGUCAACGAAUACGCGGACUGGUUUCUCACCUCACAGCAUUCGAGCAACGCACGUGAUAUGGCCGUGGCAGGGCUACCCGAUGCUCAGUUCGUGGCGCCCAAAGAACUGACUGGUUUACAGCCAAUCCCGAUGCUCAGUUUGUGGCGCCCAUACAACAGCCAAUCCGCAGCCGUCAGUGGGCUCUGCGACGCGCAGUGGGGUAGCCAGUUUCGGCACAGCCGUUGAGUCACCAUGCAAACCGAACUAGCAUCAUAACCAGGACUAUGUGCUACCCGAUUCAAGGAAGUACGAAUGCAGACCGCAUGGUGUGCUCGGCAUAUAUAUCCUGUACCAGGUCAAGCCCGAUAUAUGCAAAACAAGUGUCUUAGUGUUUGACACACUGCAGCAGUCGAAGCAAUCCGAUUCUGACAUCUAUCUGCAUUGUGUGGUACUGGUCGUGUUGGUACUAAAGGCCAGGCCAUUACCGUUGCCUCUAAUAAGAACGAUGCUAACGAAGAACAGGAUCGAUUCGAUGUCACCAAAAACGAGCUGCCAGAGAAAAUGUCCACAUUUAUUGAGGCAUGGAGAACAUAAGAACAUUAAACAAAAUAUACCAAUUUAUAUGAAAUUUACUUUAUAACUAAUAAAAUACAAUCCAAACAAAAGUUUUUGGAAUCAAUAA